This is a long non-coding RNA of Pomacea canaliculata, 1313 nucleotides long. RefSeq lists it as uncharacterized. The transcript has 2 exons. NCBI's taxonomy places the organism in Eukaryota, Metazoa, Mollusca, Gastropoda, Architaenioglossa, Ampullariidae. The record is from RefSeq and is a predicted model, not a curated record.
AUGCCUAGACACGUUAAUUAAGGCUUUUUAAAAAAUUAGUUGCAGUCUGAUAGCGACGGCAGUGAGGAUCGAGGCUCACCUCAAAGAGAUACAGCAUGUACGUACAAUACAGAACGUUUAUUUAACUUAUAUAUACUCUAAAGUAAAUAUAAUACUUAUUUAUUAAUUCCAUGUCCAAAUUCAAUAUUUCAUUUUAUUAGUAAUGAAAUUAGUAAUGAGUUUGCGUGUGGCAGUUGUUUGAUGUUCGCGCCACUCAACCAAGUUGGAUAAGGCAUUAUAUAUGGGACGCUGGGGGGGGGGGGGGAUAUUUUUCAUUCGCAUUUUAUAAUUUUAAAAAAAUUGAAGUUUAUAGCUAGAGCGAGAAAAUAAUUAAAAAAACAGAUGAAAGAGCGUGAAUAACGAGAGUGAGUGAGGAAAGUUUUCAGAAUGCGUGUAUGGAUAGCAUAAAUUAUUUGCAGUUCACCUAUUCUUUCUUCACUGUGUAAGAAGUCUUUUUGCGUGUUUAUUUUUUCAGCAACCGAACCAUCAAAAGGGGGCUCCAUCCACCGUAGGAAAAAGAUAGCCAUUCAGCACUUAGCUGGUUUCAUUCAAACAGUGGCUGAAAGCCUGACCUUGGAAGAGGUCUUACCUUUGAGUGCAAUUCUAAUAAAUGAUAUGAACAGCUUCGUAAGUGCUGGAAAGGUAAACCAUCAUAAAGCCAGUAACUAAGGCUCUAAGGUACGGAGUGUAAGAAGUCUUUUUGCGUGUCUAUUUUUUCAGCAACUGAAACCUCAAAAGGCGGCUCCCGCCACCGGAGAAAAAAAAGAGCGAUUCAUCAUCUAACUGGGUUUAUCGAAACAAUCGCAGAAGGAUUAUCUUUGGAAGAAGUCCUUCCAUUAAGUGCUGUUCUGAUUAAUGAUAUCAACAGAUUCGUAGCUGCUGGAAAGGUAAACCAUCAUAAAGCCAGUAACUAAGGCUCUAAGGUAUCUCAGAACUCUUAGGAAUGGUUUCACAGUUUCCAUUAGAUUAUAUGCAUUAUGUGUGUCUUGGAGUUAUGAGAAGGUUGCAGAUGAAAGAGCGUGAAUAACGAGAGUGAGUGAGGAAAGUUUUCAGAAGGUGUGUAUGGAUAACAUAAAUUAUUUGCAGUUCACCUGUUCUUAAAUGUUUAAGAUCUAAUGUUUUAUAAUUUUUGAAAUGACUUUUUUUCUCUCUUUUUUUUUAAUAGCAAAAGGAAAGAAGCGUUUGCAUGAAGAGGUAUGUUCCUUAUGUUUCUUCUAAUUUUAUUUACCUUAUAUAAUAGGUUGAAAUAUGUACAUGUAUAAUGUCUUUUUUUU